CGUUCCCGGGCCUUGUACACACCGCCCGUCAAGUCAUGAAAGUCGGUAACACCCGAAGCCGGCGGCCUAACCCUUGUGGAGGGAGCCGUCGAAGGUGGGAUCGGUGAUUAGGACU
This 115-nucleotide ribosomal RNA is filed under the name uncultured bacterium. RNAcentral's name for it is "partial 16S ribosomal RNA". It matches the Rfam family "Bacterial small subunit ribosomal RNA", at positions 1369 to 1482 of the family's 1533-position model. The record is from RNAcentral.